Molecule: non-coding RNA, 533 nt
Organism: Paramuricea clavata
Lineage: Eukaryota; Metazoa; Cnidaria; Anthozoa; Malacalcyonacea; Plexauridae
Source: the annotation of a GenBank genome assembly
CGUUGUUUUGUUUCUUGCAGGAAUGAUUGAAGAGUUUAUCUAAGACUUUUCUUUGGGAAAUUUGACACAAUCAAACAACGGAAACUUUUCACUUUUUGGGCACAUGUCGGCUUGUUGGUCUAAUGGUAUAUUCUCGCUUUGGGUGCGAUUCCCGUGCAAGCCCGCGUGCUUGGAGGGAAGGACUUCAAAUUUGCUUGAACGUUUGACAAACUUUUAAAAUAUUUUUGAGCCCAAAAUUGAGUGAAAAGCUCCCCUGUGUGGAUUUGAACCAUCAACCUUUCGGUUAACAGCCGAAUGCCACAGUUUUGUGUUGAUAUAUGGAAUGAACUUGACUCUAAUUUGGAAAAUAUCACUUCUUAGUAUCAUAUUUAAAAAUGCGAUAAAAGAACACUUUUUAGAGGUCACAAACAAUUACACCAUUAUAAUAUUAUAUAUGUACUUUGUAAAUAGAUUUUCAUUUCUUUCUUUUCUUUUAUUACUUAUAUUACCUAUAUAUAUAUAAAUAUUUUCAAUAUUUUUCUAUUUUGUUUAUG